CUGGGUGUGGCUCAGUGGAGAGUGCUCACCUGGCAGGUGCAAGGCCCUGGGUUCAAUCCCAGCACCGAAA
RNAcentral lists this transfer RNA (70 nucleotides) under Urocitellus parryii (Arctic ground squirrel). Its description in RNAcentral is "Spermophilus parryii (Arctic ground squirrel) tRNA". It matches the Rfam family "tRNA". Rfam says of the family: Transfer RNA (tRNA) molecules are approximately 80 nucleotides in length. Their secondary structure includes four short double-helical elements and three loops (D, anti-codon, and T loops). Lineage: Eukaryota; Metazoa; Chordata; Mammalia; Rodentia; Sciuridae. RNAcentral also lists the same sequence under 2 other names. The record is from Rfam by way of RNAcentral.